This 440-nucleotide ribosomal RNA is filed under the name uncultured bacterium. RNAcentral describes it as "bacterial SSU rRNA". It matches the Rfam family "Bacterial small subunit ribosomal RNA", at positions 958 to 1398 of the family's 1533-position model. The record is from RNAcentral.
AACGCGAAGAACCUUACCCAGGCUUGACAUGCAGUAGACAACGCUAGAAAUAGCGCCUCCCUUCGGGGCUGCUGCACAGGUGCUGCAUGGCUGUCGUCAGCUCGUGCCGUGAGGUGUUGGGUUAAGUCCCGCAACGAGCGCAACCCUUAUCGUUAGUUGCCAACAUGUAAUGGUGGGAACUCUAACGAGACUGCCUGGGUUAACCAGGAGGAAGGUGAGGAUGACGUCAAGUCCGCAUGGCCCUUAUGUCUGGGGCUACACACGUGCUACAAUGGUCGGUACAGAAGGCAGCGAAACCGCGAGGUGGAGCAAAUCCCAAAAGCCGAUCUCAGUUCAGAUUGUAGUCUGCAACUCGACUACAUGAAGACGGAAUUGCUAGUAAUGGCGAGUCAGCAACAUCGCCGUGAAUACGUUCCCGGGCCUUGUACACACCGUACGUC